This is a non-coding RNA of Phalacrocorax carbo (great cormorant), 1060 nucleotides long. NCBI's taxonomy places the organism in Eukaryota, Metazoa, Chordata, Aves, Suliformes, Phalacrocoracidae. The record is from RefSeq and is a predicted model, not a curated record.
UUUUCCCUUUUUUAUGUAGAUCUAGUGUGAGUAAAAGGUGCCAGUUUGUCAGCGGUGAAAAUUGAAAUGUUUCGUUUAUCCACAUAAAGACAGCAAGAAUUCUGCAUUUCACCGUAUUAUUUCAUUUCUCAGGCCUAACCUACAGGAAUGUUUCGAUACUGUUGUCGUGAAAACAUGAGUCUUUUAAGUUAGUCAUACUGCUCGAAGGAACUGCAUAGUCUCUAGCUCAGGAAAAGAAGAAAAAAAAAAAGAAAAGAAAAGAGAAUCAUCAUUAACUUAAUGAAAUAUUCACAGACUCAGCACAAAGUUUAAAAGAAAAUAUAAAUAAAGGCAUGGAAGUAAAAAAGCAUAAAACUCAACGUAAAGUUACUGUAUACUAAAGGUGUUGUUGUGGACCUGCUGGAAGAACCAGAAGGUGGACUGUAUGAAGACAAAAGUGGCUAUAUCGGAUGUUUCCUUCUUCAAAAUGUAGAACUCACAUCUGUAAGAAAUGCACGUGGCUAAUGGACUGCUUAGAAAAAUAGGGCAUGCCCAGGGAACAGCUGCACUAAGCAAUGUGCUCCCCUAGAGAAAUGUGAAAUGUUACGGAGAAAAAGUAGUUCACAGCAAAUGCUGUUUCCUACUCUCUUGCACAGUCUGUGUCUCUCCGUCCUCCCCUUGCAAAGCUCACAGCGUUGCCCUGGUUAAGCACUGUCAGCAGGGCUGCCAGCUUGAUUGAGUUGGUAUGGAAAAGGAGCCAGAGAGAAAAAGAGCAGAGAAUGACCCUUCCAGCAUGGAGCUGGCAUCUGAAGAAUGACUUUCCCAUACCAUGUUGUCUCUCAUAUUUUAAUGGCCCUCAUCUUGGCCAAAAUGGUCCCUGUUCCUCUUCACUUUGAAAUAUGAAAUGAGAAUAGGGUAAUACUUCCUAUAACACUUGAGUAGUGGGGAAGCAAUUGGGUCUAUUUGUUCUCUUUUACAUAGGUGAAGAAUACAUUUGCCAUUAGAGUAUAGACAAAACCUCACUGGAGUUUUUAACAGUGAAAAGGAGGCUAAAUCUAAAUAAACUUCCUGGUUUCCUUGA